GACGAACGCUGGCGGCGUGCUUAACACAUGCAAGUCGAACGGAAAGGCCCUGCUUUUGUGGGGUGCUCGAGUGGCGAACGGGUGAGUAACACGUGAGUAACCUGCCCUUGACUUUGGGAUAACUUCAGGAAACUGGGGCUAAUACCGGAUAGGAGCUCCUGCUGCAUGGUGGGGGUUGGAAAGUUUCGGCGGUUGGGGAUGGACUCGCGGCUUAUCAGCUUGUUGGUGGGGUAGGGGCUUACCAAGGCUUUGACGGGUAGCCGGCCUGAGAGGGUGACCGGCCACAUUGGGACUGAGAUACGGCCCAGACUCCUACGUGGGGCAGCAGUGGGGAAUAUUGCACAAUGGGCGGAAGCCUGAUGCAGCAACGCCGCGUGCGGGAUGACGGCCUUCGGGUUGUAAACCGCUUUCGCCUGUGACGAAGCGUGAGUGACGGUAAUGGGUAAAGAAGCACCGGCUAACUACGUG
Molecule: ribosomal RNA, 468 nt
Filed under: uncultured bacterium
Lineage: Bacteria
Description: partial 16S ribosomal RNA
Rfam family: Bacterial small subunit ribosomal RNA
Source: RNAcentral